AUGAACGCUGGCGGCGUGCCUAAUACAUGCAAGUCGAGCGAACGGACGAGAAGCUUGCUUCUCUGAUGUUAGCGGCGGCCGGGUGAGUAACACGUGGAUAACCUACCUAUAAGACUGGGAUAACUUCGGGAAACCGGAGCUAAUACCGGAUAAUAUUUUGAACCGCAUGGUUCAAAAGUGAAAGACGGUCUUGCUGUCACUUAUAGAUGGAUCCGCGCUGCAUUAGCUAGUUGGUAAGGUAACGGCUUACCAAGGCAACGAUGCAUAGCCGACCUGAGAGGGUGAUCGGCCACACUGGAACUGAGACACGGUCCAGACUCCUACGGGAGGCAGCAGUAGGGAAUCUUCCGCAAUGGGCGAAAGCCUGACGGAGCAACGCCGCGUGAGUGAUGAAGGUCUUCGGAUCGUAAAACUCUGUUAUUAGGGAAGAACAUAUGUGUAAGUAACUGUGCACAUCUUGACGGUACCUAAUCAGAAAGCCACGGCUAACUACGUG
Molecule: ribosomal RNA, 496 nt
Filed under: uncultured bacterium
Lineage: Bacteria
Description: partial 16S ribosomal RNA
Rfam family: Bacterial small subunit ribosomal RNA
Source: RNAcentral